GAGAAAUGGACUUUUUAAAGUAGGUCCUAUCUCUCAAGUAUCACAAAGUAAAGCUGUGCUAUAAAAAUUUUGUUUUGCCUAUGGAAUCCUUAAGCUUCACAAGUAUUUAUAUUGUCCUAAAGACAGUGUUUGCUAAUCUUCAAAAGAAGGUUUUUUUCUUUUUCUUUUUUUUAAAAAGGCUUCCAUAUUUUCUGCAUAAGACAAUAUAAAGCACUUUUUAAAAUGAUACAAUAAUUGUGAAAUUUUAGAGUCUGAGAGGUUAAUGAUUUGGGUUUUACUUGUCAAAAUUUACUGUUUAUCUACAGUUUUUCUUUUAACUUUUCAGUAUAAAAACAAAAUGACUUUAUAGCUAAGUACCUCAGAAGUUGGCAGCCUUAUUUGCUGAGUAUUAAUGAACUUGAAUCUGCCCUAAUUAAGAAGAUUGCAUUUUGGUGUUUGCAGUGUGGAAACUGAGCAGAUGACCACAUUUCUCA
Molecule: long non-coding RNA, 473 nt
Filed under: Bos taurus (domestic cattle)
Lineage: Eukaryota; Metazoa; Chordata; Mammalia; Artiodactyla; Bovidae
Description: long non-coding RNA NONBTAT024392
Source: RNAcentral